This 490-nucleotide ribosomal RNA is filed under the name uncultured Desulfobulbus sp. RNAcentral's name for it is "bacterial SSU rRNA". It matches the Rfam family "Bacterial small subunit ribosomal RNA", at positions 890 to 1382 of the family's 1533-position model. Lineage: Bacteria; Pseudomonadati; Thermodesulfobacteriota; Desulfobulbia; Desulfobulbales; Desulfobulbaceae. The record is from RNAcentral.
GCGUCAGAAACUUAAAUGAAUUGACGGGGCCCGCACAAGCGGUGGAGCAUGUGGUUAAUUCGAAGCAACGCGAAGAACCUUACAGGCCUUGACAUGCAGAGAACUUUCCAGAGAUUGGAUUGGUGCCUUCGGGAACUCUGACACAGGUGCUGCAUGGCUGUCGUCAGCUCGUGUCGUGAGAUGUUGGGUUAAGUCCCGUAACGAGCGCAACCCUUGCCUUUAGUUGCCAGCAGUUCGGCUGGGCACUCUAAAGGGACUGCCGGUGUUAAACCGGAGGAAGGUGGGGAUGACGUCAAGUCCUCAUGGCCUUUAUGACCAGGGCUACACACGUACUACAAUGGCCGAUACAAAGGGCAGCGACACUGCGAGGUGAAGCCAAUCCCGUAAAAUCGGUCUCAGUCCGGAUUGGAGUCUGCAACUCGACUCCAUGAAGUUGGAAUCGCUAGUAAUCGUGGAUCAGCAUGCCACGGUGAAUACGUUCCCGGGCCUU